AUACGGAGGGGGUUAGCGUUGUUCGGAAUUACUGGGCGUAAAGCGUACGUAGGCGGACUGGAAAGUUGGGGGUGAAAUCCCGGGGCUCAACCCCGGAACUGCCUCCAAAACUUCCAAUCUAGAGAUCGAGAGAGGUGUGUGGAAUUCCAAGUGUAGAGGUGAAAUUCGUAGAUAUUUGGAGGAACACCAGUGGCGAAGGCGGCUCACUGGCUCGAUACUGACGCUGAGGUACGAAAGCGUGGGGAGCAAACAGGAUUAGAUACCCUAGUAGUCC
This 274-nucleotide ribosomal RNA is filed under the name uncultured bacterium. Its description in RNAcentral is "partial 16S ribosomal RNA". It matches the Rfam family "Bacterial small subunit ribosomal RNA", at positions 523 to 796 of the family's 1533-position model. The record is from RNAcentral.